This is an RNA transcript of Zingiber officinale, 3336 nucleotides long. It is a transcript of the gene named transcription factor HHO3-like, with no coding region annotated. Lineage: Eukaryota; Viridiplantae; Streptophyta; Magnoliopsida; Zingiberales; Zingiberaceae. The transcript is spliced from 3 exons. The record is from RefSeq and is a predicted model, not a curated record.
AACAAGAAAUUCUAACAGUAGAUGAGAUCAGAGUUAACGCUGUACCCUAUGCGGGCCGUCGCUGUCGGGUUCGUGAAGAAGGCGGUGACAGAGAGCAGGGCGAGAGGGCGGCAGGUGUCGCGGCUGGAGGAGUCCAUCAAGAGUUUGGAGGAGGAGAAGCGCAAGAUCGAAGUUUUCAAGCGCGAGCUCCCUCUCUGCAUGCGUCUCGUCUACGAGGUGAUGGGGGAGUUGAAGAGGGAGAUCGAUCGGUUCCGCGCCGAGGGUUUCGGGCGUGUGUUCCAGGAAUUCACGCCGAUUAAGGGCAAAAUCAACGAGAGCAGCUCGGAUUUCAGAGAUAAGAAGAACUGGACGAGCUCGUUCCAACUCUGGAUCUGUGAGGAAAGUAAAGAUACCAAAAACAUGACAAGAUGAACCUUAAAGAGAAAUCAGUAUGUUAUUCUCGGAACGGCGGACAUGUGUCCCUGCCAGUAUUGGAACUAUACAGCUCCAAGGCGGAAGAUGAGACUGCCGCUGUGUUGUCUGACCUCUCUCUGUGCUCUACCGUGAUCACUCAUGGCUUUGUGACUCCGGCCAUCAAUAACCAUCCAGUUAGUUGCCAUAAGUGUACUUAAGAAUCCCCGGAAGCAUCUCAGGUGGUGGCGCCUGGCAAACACUGUGGCUUGCAUUAGCAACAGGCUGCAGAUGUGGAGGUUCUGGUCUCAGGAUCUGCAUCAGCGGUUUGUGCUCGCGAUUGCUCCGUGUUGCUCAUGGUAAGACCUCAGUUGAAUCAAUUGCUAGGAGGCUGAUGGAUAAUUUCUGCAGGAUGAUGUUUAGUCCCACAUCUAAAAUUUUCACAAUCCUCUAUUAGUAUAAAAUAUAACUAUACGACUUAUAAAAUAUAACCCAUGGAAUGAAGUGAUAGGAUCUUCAGGUCCAGGAAAAUCCCCGGGUCAUCCACCGCAGUGAUGCGGCCGUGUAAUUAUGGUCCAUUAAAUCAGAUUGUAUUCCAUCCCUGGGAAGGCUGAGACAUGUGUGGAGCCUUUCGAUCAGAUUAUGGAUUCAUGAUCAUUCCCUAUAGUAAUUCACUUGGCCUUACAAAUAGGUUAACAGAACGGGGUUUAUAUUCCAUGGGUAUUUUUUAAAAAUAUAUUACUCAAUUUUUGGUGUGGAUGUCUUGAAAUUACAAUUAAUUUUUUUAAUGAUAAAUUAAUCAAAUGAAUAUAUCAUAAUUCAAAUACUAAUUGUGUGAUAACAAAUAAGUUUUUUUUUUACUCAAAGACGUAAUUAGCUAUAUACGAAGGAGAUGGGAAGUUCUUAUUAUUGCUGAGUAGAGUUGUUAGGUAGGUCAGGAUGGUCCAUUAAAAAUUCAUCAUCUUUGUAGGGUGGUCUCAAUCGACCCAUCAGGUGAGUUAGAAAAUCUUUAAUUAAGACCAACUCAAAAUAGAUGCAAUUUGGUUCAAUUGUUCGAGUUUAUAGUGAAUCGUCUAACGAAAAUGAUCAACGAUCGCGAACCUAUUCUACUAACAAAUAAGCUUUUUUUUUAACUCAAAGACGUAAUUAGCUAUAUACGAAGGAGAUGGGAAGUUCUUAUUAUUGCUGAGUAGAGUUGUUAGGUAGGUCAGGAUGGUCCAUUAAAAACUCAUCAUCUUGUAGGAUGGUCUGAAUCGACCCAUUAGGUGAGUUAAAAAAUCUCUAAUUGAGAUCAAAUCAAAAUAGAUGCAAUUUGGUUCAAUUGUUCGAGUUUAUAGUGAAUUGUCUAAUGAAAAUGAUCAACGAUCGCAAACCUUGAAAUAGAAGUCGUCAGAAACUCCGAACCAAGUAAAAUCAACUUGUGUCAAGUUUUAUUUUAUUUCGUUGCAUUUAUUAUUAUUUGUUUUUCUCUCCGAGUUCUUGUGAAAAACGUGAAAAAAAAUCACGAGCAGUAUUCACCCGCUCCCCCUCCUCUAGCGCUUUCAAUCCUACACAUUGAUUAAUUCUAUUACACACAUCCUAACAAAUAAACUAAUCAUUAGAUUAAACAUGAACUAAUCAUUUUCAAAUUUGUUAACACAUAACAUAAUUUUUUAUAAAAUAAUUCUGUUCAUAUAUAACAACGGAAAAAUUAUUACAUAACUCAUAAACUAAAUGAGCUUAUUACUAUUCAUACAUAAUGACAAUAACAAUAGAAGUCUAAUAAAAUAAAUAAGUUAACACCACUCUCACUAGGACAAACAAUAGUGUGGUGGUCAACACUAUCCCUUUUAACCUAGAUUCGUUUGGGGCAAUCUCAGGUAGACAACUUUAGAAUUCUCCAUUUAAUUUGGUCCACAUUCGGAUCCUCUUAUGGAUUCUCUUCAAACUUUUCGGGAUCAUCUUGAUCCAUAUGGUGAAGUAGCUUUAUACACAAUUGUGCAUAUGGGAUAUGCCCUUACCCUCAUAAUUAGUGUGCUACUAUAUUGAGUUGUAUUGGUAGAAAUUGGAGCAAAACCAAGUUAUUCAAGAUUGGAAACUCUUUUCAUUCGAGUUUCUAGAAUAAUCGAUCAAGUUGGCCAAUAUGUCCUUGGAGUCCAUGAACUGGGUCAAACUCCAUCUCCUCAAUCUGCUCCCUUAGCUCAUUCGUUGUAUGUCACGAUGGGUCAUUGUGUAUAUCAUUGUCGACAUCUAGAAUUGAAAAUAAUAAUAGCAGUACAAAAUCAACAAACCAGUAACACAACUAGUUCAAUUCAAUUUACACAUAUACAUAGAACAAAUAUACAGAAUUUAUAAACAAAUAAGAAAAACUAAUUUCCUUUAUUUGAGGAGUUCUAGUGGACUAACACACUGGACCGGUCGAUUGAGAAGAUGAAACCUGAACUUGGUCAAUUGUCCUAUUAGAACUAAUCUAAUUAGAUAGGGAUGCCUUAUCUAUAUUGUUUUUAUUUAACCUAAAUUCAUUUAAGUUAAUUUCAGACUUAUUUAAUAAAUCUGACCCAAUUUUGAUUAAAUCAGUCCUAAUAGAAUAAAUUUAGCCUAUUUAAUUAAAUAUGGAAAGAUCCAUCUUAAUAAAUUAAACUAGUCAAAUUUAUGAUUAGCCCAUACUCAUUUAAUCAAAUCAACUUAAAAUGAUUUUGAUUUAGAUCAAAUUGAUUAGGUUAAACCAAUUAAUAGUUUGAACCAUAUGAGAAUCUAAUUAAAUGAAACUUAUCUUUUUAAACUAACCUGGUGGUUCAAUGAACCAGUCCAGUUUAAAUCAACCCAAGUUGAGUAAACUCAACCCAAUUAAUUUCCAGCAUGGAGUCAUUAAUUGUAACACCCACGAAAUUAUAAGAUAGGCAUAUGGAUAUUAUUUUUCUUUUGAGUAUAGAAAAUAAAAAGGAUAAGAGAAAAAGGGAAAAUAGA